GAGGAGGCAAGGGGCCUCUGAGAAAAUUCUACUCCGCAGUUAUGCUGGGCCUGGAUCCUGAAUCCACAUGUACCACAUAUGCCUUCAGAAAUGUGAGUUUGGAAGAGUUUAAGGAGUAGUCGGGAUAGUUCUCUGAGAAGGACAACAUCAGAGGGAGUCAAUCUUCACUCAUCAGGCCUAGCAACUUCCCUAUUUUCCAGAAAGUUUUGAGAACAUGAGUAGCUAAGUUAUUCCUUCCUGCUUGCUCCUUAUCUGAGAGAGGUAAAAGCAAAUUGAUUUACCUCUGGGCAUGUUAGAAGUACAACCCGGGAGGUUCCCAGCUGUGGAGACUGAGAGAUCAGAGAAUCAGAGAUAGAAUAAGGAGGGUGGCGGCUGAGGAAGGAGAAGUUCAACCAGGCCAAUAAAAUGAAAGAAGUGAUAUGAGCGAUAUUUAUGACACCUGGGAGUUGGAAGACUGUCUCAGGUUACAACUCAGACUCAAAGGGCUGGAUUUGUGCCUAGUGAGUGAAAACCGGCACGAGAUGUGAGUCAGUCAACAUCCCUCUCGAGCUGAAUGCUACCGUCGGAGUCCCAGUCUGGCUCUCCCGGUCCAGAGAUCUGUUUCACAGGAACCUGAAAACCUGCCAAAUCCAUCACCCGUGAUGAGCAGAUGCUGCCCACCAUGUCUUGAAUCCCAGCCAGUGAGUCAUCUCCUACAUGUGGCCGGUCACAGAGGGGCUAGGCUUGAAAAUGCCCAAUGCUGGGCUCAGCAGAGUCCGUCCCCACCAGCGGUUUGGGUUUUGUUGUGAAGUGGAUGGGAUAGUGGAGCAGGUUCCAGGACUCCAGUCUCAUCUCAUACAAUUCUGCUUCCUGCGGCUGCCUCCCUGCCCGGAGUUCUCAGACCUGCUCCCCCUCACCGUCCCACCUUUCCUUCCUUCCUCCUCUCCACACUGCCCAGCAGGGAACUGAGCAUGGGCUGGAGACAGUCGGGCUCCUGUGCUCCACGGCAUCUGGAAAUGGAGUGCAGUGCCAAGCGUCCCAGCCCCAGGCUGGCACACCAUGGCUCAUUUGGCGGGUGAUUCAGUGGAGCAGAUCUCUCAGCCUCCCCUGAUCCAGGUACUUUGUGCAUCAUCACAGACAGAGAUGGCAACACCACUGGGCCUUGGGGAUUGCCUAUCUGCCUUGGGUUAGGGGUGUGGGCUUGGGGGAAGGGGUGAUGCCUGGCUCAACUUCUCCACCCCUCCCUUGGGCACAGUGAGCCUUGGGCACCGUGCUCCCCUCUGGUGGAUGGCAGGGAAGGGGAACCCAGCUGUGGGUGUUUAGUGGCAGGCCUGGGGCCCUAGGUACCAGUAGGGUGUGUGCUUUCACAGCAGUGUCUCCUUGCCUGAGGGAGGCCAGUGUUGAAUAGCAAAUAUGAAACAGCAUGCAGGUGGAGACAGAAAGAGACAGAGAAGGGAGAGAAAAGUCCUCUGGAGAAAGCAGAAGUUUUAUAUUUUAGUUCACAUUUAACAACACCUGUUUUCUCCUUUUGGAACAAGGGACUCCUCCUUUGG
This 1532-nucleotide long non-coding RNA is filed under the name Vulpes vulpes (red fox). RNAcentral's name for it is "lncRNA (ENSVVUG00000008016.1)". Lineage: Eukaryota; Metazoa; Chordata; Mammalia; Carnivora; Canidae. The record is from RNAcentral.